AACUCGGCUGCAUGAAGCUGGAAUCGCUAGUAAUCGCAGAUCAGAAUGCUGCGGUGAAUACGUUCCCGGGUCUUGUACACACCGCCCGUCACACCAUGGGAGUUGGAAAUGCCCGAGGUCAGUGACCGAACCGAAAGGAAGGAGCUGCCGAAGGUGGAGCCGAUGACUGGGGUGAAGUCGUAACAAGGUACC
Molecule: ribosomal RNA, 192 nt
Filed under: uncultured bacterium
Lineage: Bacteria
Description: partial 16S ribosomal RNA
Rfam family: Bacterial small subunit ribosomal RNA
Source: RNAcentral